RNAcentral lists this ribosomal RNA (368 nucleotides) under uncultured organism. Its description in RNAcentral is "bacterial SSU rRNA". It matches the Rfam family "Bacterial small subunit ribosomal RNA", at positions 526 to 896 of the family's 1533-position model. The record is from RNAcentral.
CGAAGGAUCCAAGCGUUGUCCGGAUUUACUGGGUUUAAAGGGUGCGUAGGCGGACUAUUAAGUCAGUGGUGAAAGCUUGCAGCUUAACUGUAAAAUUGCCAUUGAAACUGAUAGUCUCGAAUAUAGUUGAGGUAGUUGGAAUGUAUCAUGUAGCGGUGAAAUGCUUAGAUAUGAUACAGAACACCGAUUGCGAAGGCAGAUUACUAAACUAUUAUUGACGCUGAGGCACGAAAGCGUGGGGAUCAAACAGGAUUAGAUACCCUGGUAGUCCACGCCCUAAACGUUGCAUACUCGGUUUUAGCGAUAUACCGUUAGGACCCAAGCGAAAGCGUUAAGUAUGCCACCUGGGAAGUACGUCCGCAAGGAUG